This 406-nucleotide ribosomal RNA is filed under the name uncultured bacterium. RNAcentral describes it as "partial 16S ribosomal RNA". It matches the Rfam family "Bacterial small subunit ribosomal RNA", at positions 30 to 526 of the family's 1533-position model. The record is from RNAcentral.
AUUGAACGCUGGCGGCAGGCCUAACACAUGCAAGUCGAACGAGUGGCGGACGGGUGAGUAAUGUCUGGGAAACUGCCUGAUGGAGGGGGAUAACUACUGGAAACGGUAGCUAAUACCGCAUACCAUCGGAUGUGCCCAGAUGGGAUUAGCUAGUAGGUGGGGUAACGUCUCACCUAGGCGACGAUCCCUAGCUGGUCUGAGAGGAUGACCAGCACAACUGGAACUGAGACCCGGUCCAGACUCCUACGGGAGUCAGCGGUGGGGAAUAUUGCAAAAUGGGCGCAAGCCUGAUGCAGCCAUGCCGCUUGUAUGAAGAAGGCCUUCGGGUUGUAAAGUACUUUCAGCGGGGAGGCGUUACCCGCAGAAGAAGCACCGGCUAACUCCGUGCCAGCAGCCGCGGUAAUUC